RNAcentral lists this transfer RNA (74 nucleotides) under Streptomyces sp. RNAcentral describes it as "tRNA-Met". It matches the Rfam family "tRNA". Rfam says of the family: Transfer RNA (tRNA) molecules are approximately 80 nucleotides in length. Their secondary structure includes four short double-helical elements and three loops (D, anti-codon, and T loops). Lineage: Bacteria; Bacillati; Actinomycetota; Actinomycetes; Kitasatosporales; Streptomycetaceae. The record is from RNAcentral. RNAcentral also lists the same sequence under 10 other names.
CGCGGGGUGGAGCAGCUCGGUAGCUCGCUGGGCUCAUAAUCCAGAGGUCGCAGGUUCGAAUCCUGUCCCCGCUA